This 179-nucleotide unclassified non-coding RNA is filed under the name Erysiphe limonii. Its description in RNAcentral is "sequence contains ITS2". The record is from RNAcentral. Lineage: Eukaryota; Fungi; Ascomycota; Leotiomycetes; Helotiales; Erysiphaceae.
CACCCCCCUCCAGCUGCCGUUGUGUGGCUGCGGUGUUGGGGCUCGUCGCGAUGCGGCGGCCCUUAAAGACAGUGGCGGUCCCGGCGUGGGCUCUACGCGUAGUAACUUGCUUCUCGCGACAGGGUGACGACGGUGGCUUGCCAGAACAACCCCUAUUGGAUCCCGUCAGACGGAUCACA